UGGGGGAAUAUUGGGCAAUGGGGCGAAAGCCUGACCCAGCAACGCCGCGUGGAGGAAGAAGGUUUUCGGAUUGUAAACUCCUGUCGUUAGGGACGAUAAUGACGGUACCUAACAAGAAAGCACCGGCUAACUACGUGCCAGCAGCCGCGGUAAAACGUAGGGUGCAAGCGUUGUCCGGAAUUACUGGGUGUAAAGGGAGCGCAGGCGGGCAUGCAAGUUGGAAGUGAAAACUAUGGGCUCAACCCAUAGCCUGCUUUCAAAACUGCGUGUCUUGAGUAGUGCAGAGGUAGGCGGAAUUCCCGGUGUAGCGGUGGAAUGCGUAGAUAUCGGGAGGAACAUCAGUGGCGAAGGCGGCCUACUGGGCACCAACUGACGCUGAGGCUCGAAAGCAUGGGUAGCAAACAGGAUUAGAUACCCUGGUAGU
RNAcentral lists this ribosomal RNA (424 nucleotides) under uncultured Gemmiger sp. RNAcentral's name for it is "bacterial SSU rRNA". It matches the Rfam family "Bacterial small subunit ribosomal RNA", at positions 354 to 794 of the family's 1533-position model. Lineage: Bacteria; Bacillati; Bacillota; Clostridia; Eubacteriales; Oscillospiraceae. The record is from RNAcentral.